UACGGGGGGGCAAGGCGUUGUUCGGAAUUACUGGGCGUAAAGGGCGCGUAGGCGGCCUUCUAAGUCGGACGUCGAAUCCCAUCGGCUCGAACCGAGGAACUGCGUCUGAUAACUGGAAGGCUUGAAUCCGGGAGAGGGAUGGUGGAAGUUCCAGGUGUCGAGCGGUGGAAAUGCGUAGAUAUCUGGAGGAACACCAGUGGCGAAGGCGGCAUCCUGGACCGGCAUUGACGCUGAGGCGCGAAAGCUAGGGGAGCAAACGGGG
Molecule: ribosomal RNA, 262 nt
Filed under: uncultured bacterium
Lineage: Bacteria
Description: partial 16S ribosomal RNA
Rfam family: Bacterial small subunit ribosomal RNA
Source: RNAcentral